GUCUAUGGCCAUGCCACCCUGAAUAAGCCUGAUUCUGUCUGAUCUUGGAAGCUACACAGAGUUAGGCCUGGUUAGUACUUGGAUGGGAGACCACCUAGGAAGACCAGGUGCUGUAGGUG
RNAcentral lists this ribosomal RNA (119 nucleotides) under Pteropus alecto (black flying fox). The record is from RNAcentral. Lineage: Eukaryota; Metazoa; Chordata; Mammalia; Chiroptera; Pteropodidae.